GCAAAAUGCAAGUUUGAAGAAGCACCCAAGGUGGUGCCCGGGCUUCUCCCGUUU
RNAcentral lists this transfer RNA (54 nucleotides) under Rhoptropella ocellata (Namaqua day gecko). RNAcentral's name for it is "partial tRNA-Cys". The record is from RNAcentral. Lineage: Eukaryota; Metazoa; Chordata; Lepidosauria; Squamata; Gekkonidae.